AAAUAUGAUGGUAAAAUGAUACAAUAAGUUCCUAGAUCUUGCAUGAUGUGUGGAAUUUUAUUUUAUAUGUAUCAAGAAUUUUCAUUGAUUUUCGGGUCAACAAUUUUGUAAAUUUGAAUAUCUCUGGAAUUGAUUUUUCAAAAUUUAUUUAUGAAAUUUUAUUUGAUGUUUUUGGGCUGGAAAUUGGUUAUUUUUGAUGUUUGAACAUUGUG
RNAcentral lists this long non-coding RNA (212 nucleotides) under Ananas comosus (pineapple). RNAcentral's name for it is "long non-coding RNA (ACOM_LNC029133)". Lineage: Eukaryota; Viridiplantae; Streptophyta; Magnoliopsida; Poales; Bromeliaceae. The record is from RNAcentral.